Molecule: long non-coding RNA, 726 nt
Filed under: Brassica rapa (field mustard)
Lineage: Eukaryota; Viridiplantae; Streptophyta; Magnoliopsida; Brassicales; Brassicaceae
Description: long non-coding RNA (BRAP_LNC003576)
Source: RNAcentral
GGAGGGUUAUCAAUACACCCAUAUUCUAAUUCUUUUAUCGAAACCGAUCCAUCACAGUAUCGUCUUUUAUAUUAGAAUAUAAAAUUUUAAUAUGAACUUGAACUUUGUACUAAACCAAUAGACACAUAGGUCAUAUAGAAUAUAAAAUAUUCUUACACUCCAUAGACUGAGCAGGCAGUGCUCGCAUGCCUUGGAGUUGUCCAGAGGCCUGAUGUCAGUUUGCUCAACCGGGCUGGAUGAUGAAAACUUCAACGACUUUAAGUGGCGGAGAGGGAAUAUACAUCGUGACUGGAGAAAGUGAGGCAGAGGAAUGUAGAGCCUAGAUUGGGUGUGAAGUCGGAUUUGAAGUUAAGGCCGCCAGAUCUGCAAUAGGAGCUUAAGAGGAAGGUUUAUGGCUACUACUUGCAGGAACCAAUAGAGGAACAAUGGGAGUGGAAUCUUUUGAAUGAAUACCAUCAAUUGUAAAACGUGAAUCGAAGAUGAAGGCUUGAAGAAGUCCACGCCUAGUUUUUUUCCUUCUCUUAACCUUGUCCAUCGAGAAAAAAAGAUAAGCAAGUAGAGAAGAGAGAAGGAAGAGUUCUCAUCUGAUGAAAAAGAAAGGAAGAACCCUGAUCGCUUUCAGCUACGAGAAAGAGGAAAGAGAAAGCUGGUAAAGAAGUGGAUUUUAUCAACAAGGAGAUCAUUUAGUCACUCAGGCUUACCAUACAUGUAAUUAUUUUCACCACG